Molecule: ribosomal RNA, 419 nt
Filed under: Dakarella massiliensis
Lineage: Bacteria; Pseudomonadati; Pseudomonadota; Betaproteobacteria; Burkholderiales; Sutterellaceae
Description: bacterial SSU rRNA
Rfam family: Bacterial small subunit ribosomal RNA
Source: RNAcentral
UAAGUCCCGCAACGAGCGCAACCCUUGUCAUCAGUUGCUACGCAAGAGCACUCUGAUGAGACCGCCGGUGACAAACCGGAGGAAGAUGGGGAUGACGUCAAGUCCUCAUGGCCCUUACGGCUAGGGCCUCACACGUCAUACAAUGGUCGGAACAGAGGGCAGCGAAGCCGGGAGGCGGAGCCAAUCCCAGAAAACCGAUCGUAGUCCGGAUUGCAGUCUGCAACUCGACUGCAUGAAGUCGGAAUCGCUAGUAAUCGCGGAUCAGCAUGCCGCGGUGAAUACGUUCCCGGGUCUUGUACACACCGCCCGUCACACCAUGGGAGUGGGGUUUGCCAGAAGGCGUUUGUCCAACCGCAAGGAGGACGGCGACCACGGUGGGUUCCAUGACUGGGGUGAAGUCGUAACAAGGUAGCAGUACC